GUCGGAUACCUAAUUUUGUUUUCACAAAACUAUUUUUCUUGUUACAGAACUGUGAUUGGAAUAAAAAGCAAAGAUGGGAUCGUUAUGGGAGUUGAAAAACUGAUAGCUUCAAAGAUGAUGUUACCCGAUUCUAAUCGAAGAAUCCACUCCGUUCAUCGCCAUUCCGGCAUGGCUGUGGCUUGAUUAGCGGCUGACGGUAGGCAAAUUGUGGCCCGUGCUAAAUCUGAAGCUACUAAUUACCAAAGCGUAUACGGUGAGCCCAUUCCUGUCAAAGAACUUGUUGAACGUGUUGCGAGUUAUGUGCAUUUAUGCACGCUAUACUGGUGGCUUAUGCCCUUUGGCUGUGGGAUAAUUCUCGGCGGUUAUGAUAGAGAUGGUCCCCAAUUAUAUAUGAUUGAACCGUCUGACAUCUCCUAUGUCAGUUCAUUUCUCUCGAUUAUAGUUUCAUCUGUUUCCUUGUUUGUUGAUAGUACAUUAGAA
Long non-coding RNA from Hibiscus syriacus, 480 nucleotides. RefSeq lists it as uncharacterized. The record is from RefSeq and is a predicted model, not a curated record. The transcript is spliced from 4 exons. Lineage: Eukaryota; Viridiplantae; Streptophyta; Magnoliopsida; Malvales; Malvaceae.